UGUCAGUUGGGUAGAAAUAGCAAACUUAAACUCUCGUGGAAGAGAAGGCGCUUCCUUUUUCUCUUAUCAUUAGUUUUGAUUUCCGGAUUUAAUUUUUUGAUGGCUCAGAAACUUGGAAUCUUGGACUUACUCCGAGUAUGCACAUCUCUCUCUAUGCAUGUAAUAUAAUGCCGGGUCACUGUUCUUCCUUGUGUGGGUUUGGUUCUUUUCUUAGGUGUUCAAUGAGGUUGAAAUAGUAAAAAUGAAUUGUCAUGUCACGGACACAUAUUAUAUUAUCGACAUGUUCGGGAUUCUUAUUCAAGAAUGGUUAAUUACUUCCAAGGCACAACUAGCUGUAAGACUAAGUGAACUGUUCGUGGGGAAAUUGAGAAUAUAUGAUCCAGAUCUAGUUUGAGUAGUCAUAUCAUUGAACUUUUUUAGCAUCUGACUUUUAGGCAUGAGAUAGAGUUAGAUAUGGUCAUCAACCAUAACCAUGCUAUUUUCUCCAAGUUAGAUUUUAUUGAAUGUUAUGGUGGCCAAGAAAUGUGCUGUUAUUAGGCAUGUGAAGAAGCUAAACGUGUUUUGCAAUUUAUAUAAGGUCUAGAAUUAGGCAAUCUAGGAGUUCCUUUAUAAAGUGUUGUAUAGCUUUUCACAAUUUAAGUUGUUUGCUAUUUCUUUUGGUCAAUAGGGUAAGCUCAGACAAUCCUAUCUUUAGUUGGUGGACUGCAUAUUUUGGUGGGGGGAUAGUAUUCUUUAAGGUGAAAGGGCUUUUCUUGUUUUGGGUAAGGUAGAUUCUAAAGAGAAUGUCAAAGUGAAAUAGGUCUAUUAAAGGUCUUUGGGUUUGUCUUCCUCAGCACCGGUAGAUGGUGAGCUUUGGACAACGGUGUUGCUCUUCAUCGUCCAGCAUUGAUGGCAAGAGAGUAAUUCAAGUAAGAGGUGGUUUGUGCAUGGGGAUGUGGGAUGUUGACAUCGCCACCAACCAGUGCCGCAUGCUUCUCUUUUGUGUUUUGUUUUAAUAAGUGUUGUGUAGGUGUAGGCAAGAUCUGCCAUACCAACACAUAUGUCCCGUGCUGAUUACACCAUAUUGUACCAGCACAAUGUCAAGGUUUGGUUUGGUAUAUGAGUUGAACUCAUUUGUACUGGUUUGAAUCAAAUGUAGCCAUCUCAUACCAUCCAGAAUUGACCCAUGUCACCCAAUUUCAGGCGGUACCAUAGAUGGGAGAGAAAAAAAGUGCCAUGAGUCCAUCUCGGUACGAGGUACAUACCAUGUUGUAUUUAUCAUAGUACCAAACUGAUAAUGUGACAGUAUGGUUCUGGGUAUCGGUUCUAUGGAUGCAUGCUAUUUCUACUGGGCUGGCUUAGAUGCCCUGUGCCAUUUGAUUGAUAGUUUGUAUGUCAUGAGUUGUUAUGUUGCCCCAUUUGUGUGGGCUUGUGUUCUUGACCUUUAUGGGCUGGGGCAGUUGGUAGCUGGGUUCUGCUCUCUUCAGCUACUUGGCAUGUGCUCAAGGCAGCGAGGGAGGCAUUAGCAUGUCCCAGUGGCCUAUUUUGGCCAUUGUUUGAAUCCAAAAAACCAAAUAAAAAUGAAAUAAGUCUAACGAAAAAUUUUAAACCAAGGAAAAAAAUUCUUUAUUACUUUUAUUUUUUUAGGGAUGAUUUUUUGUGAUAAUUAUUUAAGCUGACUGUUGUCCUUUUAAGAUUAUGUAUCCUGUUUUUAGCCCUUUUUAGGGUCCUUAGUUCAGUUUAAUUGGCCUCAUUGCCAGGUUGCAAAAUCACUUGGUUGAUUGAAGUGACUACUUUCGACUAUUGAGUGGGCAACUUUUGUUUGAAGUGCUUUAUUCUCCCUUCUUUUCAAGGAGUUCUAGAUGGGCAAGGCUUACAUCUAUAUUUGACUGAUAAGGAGAAAAUGAUGAAGUGAAUCUUUGGAUGGUUCUUCCCAAUUUGUUCCUUGAUUAUGUGUCUUUUCUAUCUUGUUUACUAUUUUUCUGAACAAUAUCGAAGUCAUGCUUCACUCUAAUAGCAAUUGAUGUGUGUCUGAUUUAGUUGACUGAAAGGAUGUGAAAUUGAUCAUGGUGAAAACAUGAAUCUUUAUAGUGCAAUUAAAUUUUCUGCACAAAAUCUGAAAAAUGUUGCAUGUCUCUACCUUAUUUUUAGAUCUGAAGUAAAUUGUUGAUAUUUUAUCCCAUUGCAAGAUUGAUAUCUGUAUUAAAUUGUUUCGGAAGGAAAUGUUAGGUUUGGAAGCACAUACUGAAUAUCUCAACAAGGCGAUGCAACCUGAAAUAUAUUUGUUGCUUGAUUUGAUUUCAUUUAUGGUGGUUUUGUAGAAGAAUGACUUACUUUCAGGCACCGAGUGAAGAAACUGUUGAAUUUUUGACAAUGAGCAAUUUAUUUGCUUUUUCAUCACAUUGAAGAUGACAUGAAGACUUAAGAUCAACCAUCUAAAGAUCUGUUGAUGAGAGAUCACAAUAUCCCUUCAAUCAAAUAUUGAUUUUGCAGUUUGGUUGUGAAAGGUCUACCUAUGAAGUCUGCUAGCACCUAUCACAAGAUUGAAGAAUAACCAGAACAUCUAUUUGCCAUAUCAUCUGCACCUGCAGGGAAGAAAAGUUACUGGAUGAUGCCAUGUGAUUGUGCCAAUCCAAUAUCAGAGCACAAAAUAUGGGACGAUUUCUUGAGAUGAGAUUGAUUGAGUAGAAACAAGAUGGCAUCCUAGGUUUUGAAAUGGUUUGGCUAGAUAAUUUUUUUUCAAGAUUAACUUUUUCUGCUUUGCAGCUGUCCUCGGCUCCAAGUUUAUGAACCUUAUGUGUUCUUUAUGUGAUGAAAAGAAAAGGUUUUGCGAGCUAGGGACUGGGGAAUUAAUUGUAAGUUUACAUUUGCUUGAUGCUCAAAUGUUUCGGGAUUAGAAAUUUAUUGUAGUCUUUAAGUUGUGGAGGUAAUAAUCUGUCCAAGUCAACCAAGACUAAGAUAUAUGCGGUGAUUCAAACCUGUGCUGUUUAACGUAGCAGCCCCUCUUGCAGCCACCCGGGUACUUUCCGCCACUAUCUUAUUAUAAGAAUUUAUCAUACUUAUAUAAUUUUUUAGUUUCCUGUUUAAAUAUUUGUUUAUUUAUUAGCUUUAUUAUGCUACGGGUCAUUAGGUUGACUUGCAAUCGAACUGCAGUCAAAUCACGGACCCAUGGCUAGGCAACCAAAAUGGGCUUUUUCCAGGUCAACGGGUUCCUAAUAUUGGUGAUAUUACGCGAAGGGAGUCGCUAUGUAGUUUUUUAGAUGAGAAGAAUUUUGUGUUCCCUUUCUGUGAUCACAACCUAGAGGUAUAUGGGCAAUGGAAUGGUUGAGCACAAGAAGAUAUGGUAUAUGAGAGAGAGAGGAAAAUAGAGAAGAAAAAAGAAGGAAAAUAUGAGAAAGAAAAGUGGAACUACUGCCUUGGCUGACUCUGGCUGGACCUCCUCUCUCUGACCUCUCAUUAUAUCGUCUUUUCAUGUCUUCCAUAUCUGUUCAGGGGUUUAUUCUCAUUUGCUAAUCGACUUGAUUUUGGGGUUUGGAAAACAAGAGUUGAACUGAAAUGUGCAUCAUUUCAGAAAGUGCAGAAUGACUUGCUAGAUUUCAGACUUGAUGCCCUAAAUUUAGAUCAUUAUAAUAUUGUGGUUGAUUAUGGGUAACUGAUGACACAAAGCUUCUUAUUUUCUCUCAUUUCUGCUAGACCACUACCCCCUUCCUUCCCCUGCCCCUUGCCCUCACCCUCCACACCAAAAAACAAAUGAAGACUGCAAAUCUUACUUUGUACUUACAGAAUCACUCUAGAGUUCUAGAUUGUUGUUGUUCGCAAACUUCAUGCACAUCAGAGGAGUAGGUUGUGGACCUCUUUUAGUCAACUAGUGCACCCCACUAGGCAAUAUGACAUAAAUUUGUUCACUGGAAUAGAUAAUAGCUCAAACCAAAGUAAGGGAUUUUCCACCCUUUUUUUGUGUCCAAUAGAAGAUUAGGAAGACUAGUAAUCCCUCCUAAAAGUAUUUGUUCCUUUCAUUUUUCCCAUCCUUCCCUUGUAUUCUCUUCCUUUAUAUUUGUAUGCCCGGAUAUGGAUCGAACUAUCUCGCAAUGUUUUGAACCCAGCUCACGUACCACUUUAAUGGGCGAACAGCCCAAUCCUUAGAAUAUACUACAGUCUCAGGUGGCAAAGAGCCGACAUCGAGGUGCCAAACCUUACCGUCGAUGUGAACUCUUGGAGAAGGUUAAAAAGGUAAACCCUAAACUAAUUAUAUGAUAACUCCAAUAAUCCAAACGCUGAGCCAAUUGAUAUUUGUAAUAAUUUCGAAAUGAAAGAAAAGAAGUGUUUUUAAAAAUCCUUCUUCUUUUUUCAUUCAAGUAUUUAAUCUCACCAAAGAAAAAUGAUCUAAUUAAGAAAUUUCCCCGGAUCUUGCUGAUUUUCAAUCCAAAUGGUGGACCAAAUCACUUGAGGACUUCCAUCAAAUCUGAUAAAAUAGAUCAUAGGAAUGUAAACCCUGACACUCAUAGAAUCACUGUAGAAUCUAGAAUUAUUUCGUGAUGGUCUGUGAACUUUUCUUCCUUGCAGUGUCUAUACUUUUGGGGAAAUGUAUGAUUUUUGAGCUUAUUGUGGCAUUUCAUUAUUAUGAAAAUUUUAUCAAUGUGAUUUUACUCUCUACAUGCACGCAUGUGCACUUACGGAGAUGAGGCAUUGUAAAUUCUGUAGUGUGAGAGCCUCAAAGAACUUUGGAAUGCAUAGCAUCUGUUCUUGGCUCUUCUAUUGUGAUCCUGUUGUGGUUCUAUUGAAAUUUUCAUCUGAUCUGCAGUGAUGUGCUGCAGUCAUAGAGUGAUCUUAGACAGGAUUCUUGAGGGAGGAAAAAAAAUCGAAGGUAUAUUUAGUUGAUGAAUCAAAGGUAUAGAGUUAUAGGUUACAUCAGAUGAUGGUCAAUUCUGCCUGGCUGCUCUUCAUUUGUUCACUAUAUGUAUCUGAAAGGGUUCAUGUUUUAUUCUAUGUGCCCACAAAAUGUUGUUGGUUCAGAUAGAAAACUUUGCUGACGGGAUACUUGGCUUAGUUGCGCAUGUCAAAGUGAUAGCAAAUUUCCUGAGAGUGUCAUUUUGGUCUUGUAAUCAUAGUGCAAAAGUGUUUGAGUUAUUGCAGAAGGACUAAAUUUACAAGUUUUGUCUUUACGAAACCUUCAGGCAUUUACUUAAGAUUUUUUAUUGUGCACUGGGUUGAUAUGUAAUGUGUUGUUGAACAUAAGCAGAUGA
Elaeis guineensis (African oil palm) is the source of this 5222-nucleotide non-coding RNA. The record is from RefSeq and is a predicted model, not a curated record. Lineage: Eukaryota; Viridiplantae; Streptophyta; Magnoliopsida; Arecales; Arecaceae.